UGGUAGAUAUGUUUUCAUCAACCGCGAGUUCCCGCAACACAACCUUUACUGUGCACCUCUAUUUGCCACAAAAGUACCAAAAUAACCCUCCUCUCUCCCGUCAAGUACAUCCAGUGAAGCUGCCUAAACACCGCCAUGCAGCUGUGAAGAGGUUUGGAGGUUUUAUGAACGACACCAACAUCCCUGGACAAGUUUUGGCGUUGAAGAAAAGCCUCGAGGGCACCCCCUGGGAAUCAUCCAUAGCAAGGACACAAAGCAGGGGUCGUGUGCCUUGCAGUGUUGCUGGCUACAACUCGCCCUACGAAUAUGAGAAUCGUGCAAAUGAAGUCAUGUUUUGGUUUGAUUAAUGGUGACCAAUCAUUUGUACAAACAGUUCUGUAAUGGAGGAAAAAGCAAGAAAAGAAAUAAGCCAUCUUUAUCAAAGGAUAUGCUACCCAAUUGCUUAAGAUUUCCUUUUCCUUGUGCACAAUCGUGCUCCCCUUUUCUUUAAUCACGCACUUGAUUUACGAGCCUGGAUAGGUCCCGAGUGGCAGACAAAAACCAAUAGACCUUGCAAAACUAGUUCAAGUGACUGAUUUGUUCUUACCCACUGAAAAAAACUGGUUCGUACCAGGCUUGGCUAUUGGCACUACAAGGGCGGAAAGCAGGAUCACCUAGCAUUUCAAACAUAGGAUUCAAUAAACUAGAUUUUACAGACUUCAAGGAACUAAUUAUGAGUGUGGUGAAAGCACAGAAAAUAUAUAGUUUUAUCAAACAGGAAGGAAAUGAUAUUAGUUGCUCUGUUCUUCAUUAAAUUCUACCAAAUAUAUCCUGUGAGUUUCUGAGAUUGGGUUUAAAAGCAAAUUACUAGCACUAUCAUAUAGCCCUGUGGAGAAGAAGUGGGGGGGCAUAAAAUGUAGUACAAUUAACAAAAUCGUCCCCUCCGAUGAGUUACCAUUCCUUGAUAAUCGCCAAAGGGUGACAAGAAACGAGAUAUCCACCAGAUAAUUUCAUUAAUUUGACAUGUCUCAGCUAUUCAAACACAUCAAGCCCAAAGAAGUUCUUGUAUAUAAUAAGCAUCCUGUACAAAUUAAAAUCUAGCAAUGGCUUUAUGUAUUUGUUUUUCAAUAGAAACGUGUACAUAAGCUGUAAUCUAAUUUUAUAACCUCCGUUUUACCUAAUACAAGCGCCGCCGACACUCAUCGGUGCCACAGUAGCAUGGUGACUGUUUUAGUUUCCCAUCAGGACCAACAACACUAUCAAGUGUGUAACCAUAGUCAUAUGGAAGUUCCUGUUUGCAACAUAGCAAAACCAUUUUUCAUUAUAAAUUUGCUGUUGAUGCCUGGAAUUUAAUAUUUCACAUUAAAAGGAAAGGAAGCCCAAGUUAUAACAUCAAGCACAAGAGAUAACUAUUUAUUAGAAUGCCAGGUUAGCAUGAAAACAAAAAGAAGCUUAUAAAGAUAUCAGAAUAAAAAAGCCCCUUUCUUUUUCUGGUUUGAUGCUGCUUGUUUUCCAAGUAUGCUGGUAAUCACUUGUGCUUGGAUUCGACUGAGAUUUUGUGCAGAAAUUUGGCCAUAGAGGCAACAAAACCCAUAUUUGUAGGUUGGUCACACUAACAGUGAGCUUAAAGAAUUUUUUUCACCCAGUUGAGAGAAACCCUAUUUCAUUGAUGAUAACGCUCAAUUCAUUUGAAACGAUGUUUCAGCUGUUGAAAAUUUCACUUCGUCACUCUAUUGGGUGUUAUUUCCUUUUCCUUAGAGUAAUUUUAUCACCUUUAGUUCAGAUUAUGUUUAUUCUAAUGCUAUCACCUUUAGUUCAGCUUAUAUUAGGGUAAAGAGUACUUUAAUCACGAUGUUCUUGAGCAAUACCAAAGAGCAGCACAUUACAUAGUCAAGAUUGCUUAUCACGUUAAUUCUAUAUUUGGUUGAUUCAAUAACUCUUACUGGUUGAUAGAUAAGCAGUGGGAGCACAAACAGAAUCAUAAAAGUUUUCUCAUAGAUAAACACCUUCAACAAACACAGGCAUCAUCUCAAGUACGCAGAAAUUGAAACAUGACCAAUUUUUUCACAAUUUUCACAAAGCAUUACGUUUUUUAAGUGUUCUAAAUUACUUCACAUAGCAAUUCAAGUGUAUGCCAUGAAUUUAAGGAGCAGACAGUAAAUUAAUUUUAUGCCUGAAUCCAGUGCUCCUCAUUGAUGCAUGGACACCUCUCAACUCUUUCAUGUCUAGGACAACGCAUGUAAAGGGAUUUUCCAAUCAUAGAUAUAUAUAAGACUUCGAUAUUUUCUUCAGAAUCGGUUGAUUUGAAGAACACUUAGCAUCAGCGGAUGAACUCCCCUUCUGCAAAGUUUUUAUGGCACUAGCAUAACAAUCACAAAGACCAAGAUCCGCCUCCAGAGAGAGAGAGUGAGGCAGAGACAGAGAGUUUAAAAUGGUGAAAGUGGCCUGGAAAGGAGUUGGCACAUGAUAGCCAUUUUGUUCUGUAUUAAUGGUUUCUCUUCGCCAAAUAAGUUUUCAAAAGGAAAGGCAUAAAUUUUGAAAUAUGAGAUACAAUAUUUCAGGAGAAGCAAAAAUGGACUGUUAUUUAAAUUUUCACCUCAAAGUAUAGCAAUACUUGUGCAGCUUUAGUCAUACAGAUGAUAGUAAUAAUUCUUAAUCAUAAUGAUUCCUGCUUCUUUGUUAAUUCAAACACCUGGCAGUUGUCUCACUGCCUACCUUGAUUCACAAGAUAAAAAACAAAUUUCAACACUGACAUUUUGAUUUGAAAAAUAGGAAAGGAAACAAAGAAUCAAAUAGGUGCGUGAUGAUGUCUAAACCGGAAACACCUUAAUGUAGCACAACCACAACAAAACAGUGUUGUGUUACUAUUUAGCCAAGAGGAGGAAACAAUGAAGAAUAUUUUCUGUAAUUUUAAGGAUUGCUAAAACCAAUACUUCGAACAAAAAAAUAUACAUAAGCAUUCACCUAUUCAUUUCAAUAAAAGAUCCUUAUAAAUGCAAUCACCUGAGAAAAGUUAAGGUGAUGAGAAUUAAAAUUCCUCACUGUCUCCUUCACUGCUGUGCAGGCCUUCUGCUACAAAAUUUUGAUAGUCUGUCCAUUUCAGGAAAGCAGUGUCUUCUAGCUCAAUUUCUGCUUCAUCAACUUUAAAAGGCAAGGAACCAAGGGCCAGACAACUUCUAUCGCACCAAUCUUCUCCGCCUUUUCUAUCUAUAUCAGGUAGUCAUUCUUGCAAUGAAUGAUUCAUGCAGGUUCUUCUCUUGACAGCAUUAUCUCUGGUCGAUUCUAACUGUCUCUUCCUAUUAUAAUCUCUGGUUUCUUUCUUGCACUCAUCAUGUUUAGGAGCAUUUAACUCCCACCUCUGAUCUCCAUCAUAAUAUGGCCUUCUCUCCCUCGGCCCUGUUGACUCUUCUUCAACUUCUUUUUUGCAAAUGUCGAGUUUAGGAGCAUCUAACUCCAUGCUCUGACCAUCAUCAUAACAUGGCCUUUUCUCUUGAGGUGUAUUUAUAAGUCCAGGGCUGCAUCUUCUCUCUAGAGGCCCUUUCGACUCGAUGUUUUGAACUCGUUGCACAAUGGUCUUUGUCACAGAAACCUCAAAUGCUUCACUUAAAGGUUCUUCCUUGAGAGAUUCAUAACUGGAAUAUUGCUUUCUUUGCAUGGACUCUCCAUCAAUUAAUCCCAAUAUCAGAAUUCUACAUUUAGAAAAACAAUCUUCGCAUUUUCCAAAUCAAGAAUUAAUAACCAGAAGCCCUGCUUGAUACAAUUUGUGAUUCACAUGUUUGGUCAUAAGAAAUUCUAAGCAUUCAAUCUCUUAUAUAAACAAAAUCAAAGAAAAUGACUUCAAAACUGUUCCAAGAAAAAUAAAAAAAAAGAUCCUAAUGCCAAUUAAUUUCCUAAUGAAAGUUGGAAUUUUCCUUAUAAACAGAUCCUCCUAUUCAGUACAGUACACAUUCACAAACAAAAUCCAAAAGAAAAAAAAAAAUGCACAGAGACAGGCCAAUGCAAGUAAAAAGGAACGUACCAGGAGCAAUUCCAGAGAGAAUGGGAGACAGGGAAGGAGAAUGUGGGGUAAUCCUCAGGAAUAACGUAGGGUUUUUUUAAAAACCAACGUUGGAUUUGGAUUUGAGGAUAUACUACAAGGCAAAAGUACCCGCAGGAAAGUUUACGAAUGAAGAUCACGCGGUUCAAAUUAUAUUUUUUUUUUAAAAGUUAUUUAAAAUUAAUUUUUAUAUAUUUUAAUUUGUUAAUAUUAAGAAUAAAUUUUUAAAAUAAAUAUUAUUAUUUUAAUAUAUUUUCAAGUAAAAAUAUUUUAAACCACAAUUGCUAUUAAAUAAAAUUUUAAUUGAAAACAAAAAUAGUUAUGGUAUUCUUUACUCUUUGUAAAGGUCACAAUGGAUAGUAUUUAUAUUUCUUAUAUAGGAUAAAAUAAUUUUUUUAUUGAAUAAAUAAAUCUAAACUGAUAAAAUCAAACAAACAACUGCAAGCAUUAAUUGUGUUUAUUUAAAUCAUGAUAUCCACUUUAGCAUUGUGAUUUUUUUUAUUUGAAUCUUAAGAUGAAAUAUAAUUUUCUUGCUUCUAGAAGAAUAUUUUGUUUAUUUUUAAUUACGAUGAUUUUGGAACCAUAAUAUUUUUUUGUAGAAAAUUAUUUAUAAAAAUAAUUAGUGCUAUAUUUACAAAUAAUUCAAAAAAAAUGUAGAUAAUUUAAGGAUUAAAUCACUAAAAGUACAUGAAAAAUAACAUCUUAAGAUUGUAUAGAAUUAGGAGGUACUUUGAAUAAAUAAGAAAAAUAUUUGAAAAAAACAAAAAUAUUUUAUACACACACACACACGCUAAAAAACAAAAUAAACACCUCAAGAUUGUCCCAGCAACCUUCAAGAAUUCAUUUUCAUCCUAAGAAAGUCAUUUUAACUUUAAAAAAUCAAAUUAUAUUUAAAAACUCAAUUAUAUUUUUGGUUUUUGAUCUCCUUUAUCCGGCUAUUUGAAUACCAAGAACAACCAUUAUUAAAUUUCUCAUGUCAAGUCCAAUAUAUUGACACAAAAAUAGGUUUUUUUACAAUGCUCGUCGGAGUUUUUUUUAUUUUCCUCUCCUCUCUCCUCUAUUAACCGUCAAAGAUAAAGUAUAAUGAAAAUAAAAUAUAAAACUAAAAUGUAACAAAUUAAAUAUAUACGAACCAAAAUGUAGGGUCGAGUCCUCAACCUUUGACGUCCCUUUAACAUUAAACAACUACAAUAAUGAACAAUAAUUAAACACCGAGCGGUUUUAGUUUAUUAGUAAUAAUAAAAAAAUAGUAAAGUAAAUUAGUAAUUUAGGCUCUCCUAUUUUGUUUUUCUCUAGAUACUGGGCCCUUGUUUGUCACAGAAAAAGAAAACUUGUCUAUCCCCGUGGCCAAGAAGGGUUAAAGAGCUAAAGCCCUAACCCACCCAUCAGCUGGAAACGAGAAGAAAAGGCAAUUCAUUUUUUCAUAAUUAAAAAACGUAAAUACAUAUAAUUUUCAGAGGGAAGAGUAUUAUCUACAAGGUGUUUGAUUCAGCGGCAUCCAUCGACGGGGAAAAAAAUACACAAGGGCAUCCUGUGUUCAAAUCUCAUAUUUUACCCAUAUAAAAAAAAAAAACAAAAGAGAGAAUUGUAUUUAUAUAUAACUCGACCAUAAAAAUAAUCCCAGUCAGUCAAAUAUUAUAUAGUUAUGCAAAUAUAUAUUUAUAUUGCAGAGCAUCAUUGACUAGCAAAAACAUUAAAAAAGCUGCAUGAUUCAAGAGAGAAGCCAAUCAGAAGCAGGGAAGUUCCCAAAAUCAACGGCUAAUGGUACAUGGUAAUUUGAAAGAACCAAUGAUAAUAGCCCUGGAUUAAAAAAGCAAGAAAAAACUGUAUUGGGACAGGAGUUAACAGAGCUUAGAUAAAUAAAAUAUCACACGUGAAAGUAAAUAUAGGAGAGAAUCUCAUAGGGUGGCUAUUCAAGACGAGUGCUAAACAAUGUAUCGCCACGCACAUGCUUCCCUCUCCAAUCAUUAACAAAAAAGCUGGUUCGAUUUGAAAAAAUAUUGUUUACUGAUUGAGAAUUUACUAUUUAUUAAAAUAGUAUAAUGAAUAUUUUUUUUUUUUAAUGUAAACCGGUUAUUAAAGGUAAUACAGUAUUUAGUGUUUCUGUAAGAUUCAUUAGUCUUUAUGAUCAUGGAUGAGUUGGUAUUUUUAUAUUUUAAAAGGAUAGUAAAAUGACUAAAUUAUUAUUAAAAAUAUAUUUGUUUAAUUGAUAUUUAGGGUUUUUUUUUAUUUUCAUUCUGAUUUUUUAGUUACAAUCAAGCUAGCUAAAAAAUAUUUCAGUAUUUUAAUAAAUAUAAUUAAAAAUCUAAAAUUGGUUGGUACUAGCAAAGCUCGUACCAUAGAGUGGGGAUGUCAUGGUGUCAUUUGGCAGCCAAAAAUUUUCUUUUGACGUGUUGUUUGAAUUGUCGCGACAUCUCUUUCUUGUUAGGGCGACACAUGGCAUUAGUGGUGGGAUGAUUUACUGUUAGAAAUGUUUUUUUUUUUGUCUUUUCUUUCUCUUCACCUCGAAAUUCACUCCAGCCAUUCAAAAUUUUAGAGUUACCCUCUUAUUUAUUGCAUUUCAAUUUUGAUCUUUAUUCUUUUAUUUCAAUUUUUUUGUUCUUAACCUUUUUGUGAAAUUUUCAUUUGUUUUCAAUUUCAUCAUUCAAUCUUAAUUCAUUAUAUUUUGUUUUUUUCAUUUUGAUUUUUGUUCUUUUGAUUGUUUUCUGGGUUCUUUUAUUAAAUUAAUUUUUCUUUUUAAUUUCACAAUUUAAUAAAAAAAUAUUAGUUAUCCUCUAAUUUAUUUAUUUUAUUACAAUUUUGGUCCUUAUUUUCUUAAUUGCUAUUUUUUGUUUUGGAUCCUUUUGUACAAUUGAUUUUUUUUAAUUUUAUUUUUCAACAUUUGAUUAGUUGGGGACUGAGUUUCAUGGUUUUUUUAGAUGAGGUGCUUCUGAUAUAUGACCAUGUUCACAGGUUUAAAAAGUUAACGCAGGUUGACAUCAUUUUUUAUUUGGACUUAUUUUCUUUUUCGAUUUCAUCAUUGGACAUUGUUUUUUUUAAAUAAACUUUGUGAUUUUUUUCAUUUUCUUUUCUAUCGAUUUAUCUCGAUUUCAUGACCUGGACGUAAGUUUAGCAGUUUAACUCGGGUUGACUCGACUAUUUUAAAAGAAAUUUUAAUCUUUUUCUGGUUUCAUCCUUCAAAAAUUGGUUAUUUUUUAAAUUAAUCUCCAUUUUUUUUCUAUUUAGUCUUUUAUUGGGUUAUCUCACCCUUAUGACCCAAGUUUAGAUUUAUAUAUUAGGUUGAAUCAGAUCUUUUUUUUUUUUAUCUAAUUUCAUCUUUCAUAUUUAAUUGGUAAGGAAUUAAGUUGCAUCGCUUUUUUCAUUUGAAAAAAGAUUUUUUUCUGUGAUUAUUGUUUUUUUUAUUUGGUAUAUUUAUUUUUUAUUAUCUAAUUAAAAUAAAAUUAACUUAAUUAACCCAAUCAAAUCUCUCACUCGAGUUAUUAAUUUUUUUUAUAAAAUGUAUUUAUGUUGUCCGAACAUCAAAAAAUUUCUAAUCUAACCCUGCAAAGUAGCGCAGUUCCAUGGAUCCAGUUCUUUCUAUUUUAAUUUUAAUUUUAAUUAAUUUCUUUAAUCCCCUUCCUCUGGCUGACAGUAAUGUUCCUUGUACUUUAGACAAAGCUACUUGUUGUCCUACCUCUACCACCAGUUUCGUAAAUUCACAAAGGUGCCCAACCUUAUGAAUCAAUUUGUUUCUUUUUUUCCACAAAAAAAACAGGCUGUCUAUUUUAUACGAGGAAGGAGAUGUCUUCCAUUUGGAUAAAGCUUCUGAAACAAUGAAAGUUUAAACAUCAUGUGGUCAAACAGUACGAGAUAAUUACUAGCAUUGGCCAUUUAUUCAAUCUACACAUGCCCACUGAAUUUCAAAGUUUCUACUCGUCGAGUAACAAACGGCUUUGCUUCAUAAGUAGUCUAACACUACAGAUUUGAUUUAAUAAAAUAAAUAGAUUUUUUUCGAAGUAAGCUCUCGGCGCAUUGAAAACGAAAUAUCUGACAUGUUUACUAAAAACAAAUAUUAGGUGAUUCCAAAAUAAGUUAUAAUAAUCAUUUUUAUCAUUUUUAUUAUUAUGUAUGAAAAACCAAGAUUUUAUCAAUAUAAUUUAUAUAUCUUUACCAAUAAAUAUUGGAUCAAGAAAAAUAUAAAAAUAUAAAUUUUUAAAAUUUUUAGAUGUGUUGAGCUGGCUAAUACCAGCACCAAACACAUGUAUCAAUUGAGUCAUAAGAUUACUAGCUGAGCAGCAUGCAUAUUGAAAAGCACGCAAAAUAACCUAAUUUUGGGUGUGAGUAAAGUACACUGGUAUGUUAUUGUUGUUAAUUUGCAUUUUCAAUUUAUUAUUUAUAAUUGACGAAGUUGGAAAUUUUUUAAGAAUCUUGGGUUUUUUUCAUGGUUGAUUGAUGGGCUUUAUAAAUUCAGUCGUCGAAGAAGAUUGCUAAAUUUGGGUCUCGCGAGCACCUGCAAAAUAAGUUUUUCGAUGAGCUCAUGACAUCGAGAAACUUAGGAAGUAAUGUGUGUUUGUAAGGAAGAUGCAUUAGAUAAUGUGAAGUUGAAGGAGAGCGUGUGAGCUCUCUUUCUCCCGGUGUGUGUUUGCUGGCAGAGUUGGUUAGCUUAGAGCUUGUUUUUUAUUUUUUUGAUGUAUAAUGCCAUUUCAGUUAUUUUUUUUAUAUAUAAUCAUGAGUGUCCAGGUUAUUUUAUAUGCAUCUCGACUAAUUUUUUGAGAUAUUAAAGUUAACGACCAUAUAAACUUACAAUGAUUCUAAGAUUUGUGGCACUCGAAAUAGUAAUAUCUAAGAAGUAAACUCAGGGCCCGACCAGUUGAACUACACCUCUCAAAGUUUCAUUCAUGAGUUUUUAUAUACACAUUUGUUAGAGAAUAAUAUAAAUCAUAUCCUGGAACCUUACCUAAUAGCUUAAGCUAUUGGGUUGAGAUGGUUCUUUGAAAUGGUAUCAGAGCCUUAAUGACCAAGCGGUCACGAGUUCGAAUCUCACCAUCCCCAUUAAGUUGAUAAAAAUUAAGCACAAGGUAAUGUGGGCCUGUGCAAGUUUCAAGCCCAGAGGGCUUUCACUUGAGGGGAUGUAUUAGAGUAUAAUAUAAAUCAUAUCCUGGGAACUUACCUAAUAGCUUAAGCUAUUGGGUUGAGAUGGUUCUUUGACAACAUUAAUAUACAUGUUAUAUAAUCAUGCGAAGAUUAUUUUUUUAAUUGUCGAUGGUUGCAAUGUCAUUGUGGAUGGUCAAUCUUCAAUGCGAAAAUAUAUUUUUUCUUUCCUCCUUAAUACCAACACAAUACAUUUGAAAUAAUCAAUAGUUACAGAUUCAAUAAUUGUACUUUAUCAGUAGGUGGGAGAUAGGAUCCUUUUCCACACGGGAAAGAGAGGAGCAGAUGAACGAGUCGAGGUAUCAGAAACAGUGUCAGGUUCAAAAUCCAAACACGCCUACUUCCCCUUUCAGAAAUAAAACAAUAUGUACUUGCAUGCAUAUAGGAGCUGGGCUGUCAUUUUAUGCAAUGGCCAGGCGAGCUAAACUAAGAUCACGCAGUCUGUCCAAGUCUCAAACCGCGCUUCACGCGUGUCAAAAAGAGUGUGAUUGGCUGCUUGUGCGCCAAAUGGGUGACACAAGGACUCAUGGGCGUGGCCAUGUGCACCUAUCUCAUCUCAACACCAUGGCAGGGCACCUGGCUCCAAAACAGGCACUGACUUAUCAUGACAGAUUACACCAUACCUAACCAUUAUCUAGCCAUAGAAAAUUUCCAUUGCUUUACGUUGUCAAUCCGUAAAAUCAGUUCUGGGCUCGCACGUGCCUAGGGGCAUUCUAGUUGUAAUGGUAGUAAUUAUCUAUGACAGUAAGUGACUUGGCGUGGAUUCGAUUCCAUCAUUCUUCUUCUUCUUUUUUGCAUUUCUAAUAUAUUUGGAUUUUAAUUUCCUUUAGUUGAAGUCCAUAUACAAAUAAUUGCGGUUAUUUAUUAUAGAACAAAAUAUAAUUAUUAAUUAAGAUUCAACCUUUUAGAUUUUAAGAAUAUAUUUAUCAUACAAUUACCAUCCAAAACAUUUAAAUGUCAUGGUUUGCAUCAGCAAUCGAAGUUAAUUAAGAAGUUUGUAUUCUGGAUAAAUAUUCCACAGUGGUCCUAAUUCCAUGUGCUAUCCAAAACAUUUUUUUUCCAGCGAAUGAAUCCACGUUCUCCUCCUAUAUAUAUAUAUAUAUAUAUAUAUAUAUAUAUAUAUAUAUAUAUAUUAUUGUUAAAUGAUUGAUAAGCUUCUCAAGUACUCAACUAUGGUGAAUCAUAGUAAAAUUAAAAAAAAAAACCUCCCCCUUGCAUGCAGGCCGAAUGAUGACAAAGGAGAGUAUAGGUCAUUGAUUUGAGAAACUUUUGAAUAAUGCAGCAAUUGGUCGAAUGAUAUUCUAACACUCCAUCAAGUCUUGAAAUUAUAUAUAAAAAAAAAUCUUUUUUAUAAGAUAAAAUAUGAGGUGUAUUAAAAAUUGUACAUUUAUCUCCCAUGUAAAUACAAAAUCCACUGUAAAAAUUAUUCUUGGAUCUCAUUUAUAAGUUAUACGACACUUCACAUCAUCACAAGAAAACAAUUUAAUAAAAAAAAUGAAAUUAUUUACAAAAUUAUCAUUUUAUUUCAAUUAAUAACUAAAAAUCCUUUGCCAUUUAAAAAAAAAAAAAAUUGUUAUUCUCCCUCUCUUAGCCAAAUCUAAUAAAAAUUUGUGUCAUCAACAUCAAUUUACAUAUUUAUCUAUUUGUUCAUCUUAAAAAUCUAAUAAAAAAACAACAAAAGUUUUCCCUAAUUUUAUUUCCGUCUUCUCUCAAGAAUUGAUGCAGUGAUGUGAUUUUAAGACGAUUGAAAAAUGUUUUUUCCCCUCGUGAUUUGGUUUCUUAAUGUUGCAUUCUUUGUUUGAAGCAGUGGGAUUUUGCCUUCUUUGAUCGGGAUAAGUCACGUUGCAAUUCAAUUUCUAGCGUACGAGGAGAUUAAGUGUUACAUGGCAAAUAGAAGUAUUGUUUACUAUCUUAUUCUUUAUAGGUUGCGAGUCAAACUUUUGUACAGUUAUGCUCGAACAAUUGUUGAUAAGUCAGUGCUUGCCUCUAUACUGACUUAAAUCCUCGCAAGGGAUGCUCUAGCAUGGCACUCCACUACAGUGAGAGUGAGAGUUCAUCUCUUAUGAAAGCUUUGUCCAUUGUUUUAAUAUCUUCAUUUCAAAUACCAGGUGGUGCGUUCAAGGCUUAAAAAAAUGUGACCCAAGUGUUCUAAUAUCAUCUUUUCUAGGUUUUUAACCCAUAAAAUAUUACCCAGAUGAUUAUGAACUGGAUUUCUUAACAACUCUGCCAUGAUAUAAUGAGAAAAGUGACUAUAUAGAUANNNNNNNNNNNNNNNNNNNNNNNNNNNNNNNNNNNNNNNNNNNNNNNNNNNNNNNNNNNNNNNNNNNNNNNNNNNNNNNNNNNNNNNNNNNNNNNNNNNNUCCAAGAGCCAGAGAUUCGGCAUUCUUAGGUUUCCUUUUCAGUAAUGGCGUGGACUAAAAUGCUGAUAAGGGCAUCCUACCCUCCCAAUAAAAACAAAUUGGUACAUCUUUCUCUUUUCUACGAGCAUUUAUAUUAAAUAUUUUUUAUUAAAAAAUAUAUAAAAAUAAUAUUUUUUAUAUAAAAAUUUAUUUUUGAUAUAAAGACAUUAAAAAAAUUUAAAAAAUAAUUUUAAAUAAAAAUAUAAAUUUUUAACAAACAAAAACAAACUCUUAAUCAUUUCUUGUAAUCUUCACUUGAUGGCUAGCUAACACAUGAGAAUGCCCCAUAAUUUAAAGCCACAUUUAUGGUUGGUUGGAUUUGAAAGUUGAGAGCCCCAUGACGGGUGCCUUCUCUCUUCUCCUACACGUCCUUUUUGCCUUCCAUUUCUUCUCAUCUGUUUAUCACUUUAUCCCUUCCCAUCUAAUUAAAUGAAUUAGCCCAUUUAGUUUCGUGUCAAGCAAUAUAAAUAUAUUUGAUUGUGGAAAAAAGCUUCCAUAAAGGGGCUGGAAGGAAGCACAGACCUCAUGAGGGGUUAGUAAAGGGUCACCAUCUUCAUGCGCUAUCGUUGGGACCAGGUUGAUGACUGUGGCCCUCCAUCUGCGUGGGCUAGCCUAUAUGUAGCCGCCUUUACUAGGUGGUCGCUCUAGCCAUGUUACCCCCUCCCCCUCUUUCUGGACCUCCGGUUGAAUGAAAUGGCUAAGCACGCACCCUUCCUGCCCCCUCGGGCAUGCAAUUGACAUCUCUUUUAUGUGCUCAGUGGUUAGAAAAAGGUUUGCACUCUUUUUUAAUUUUUUAGUUUAAAUCUCACAUCAGCAUUUUAAAAAAUUUAUUAAUUUAUAAUUAUAUAUAUAAACAUGACCUUUAUUUCAAAAUAUUUGAUUCGAUAAAAAUAUCUUUAAUCUCAAGAAUCAUCAUCUUAUCUUAUCUUAAGAAAACUUUACAUGACAAAAUAAAAAAAUACACAUACUCAAAACAUUAAUACAUGGUUAUCUAUUCCAAUGAAAGCCCAUCCAAGCAGCGGCAGAAUCAGGGGAGGCGAGCAGGGGCCCGGGUCCCUAUAAAAUAUUUUAAAUUUUUGUAUUUUUAGUGUUUAAAUAUGAGAUAAUAUAAUAUAUUUUUAUUUUAAAUAGAUAAGUUUUCUAAUAAUAAAUUAUAUCUUGAGUUUUGACCAUUUCUAUUAUAUAAUUCCAGCUCCGUCCCUGUAUGCAAAGGAAAAGAAAAGAAAGGACAAUGAAAAAAACAAUCGGCUAAACUGGGUUUUAUUAUGAUCAUGUCAUGAUUUUGUAUGUUCAUUUUAUGUGUUUUUUAUUUUUUAGUGUUUUUAAAUUAUUUUAAUAUAUUUAUAUAAAAAAUAAAAUAAAAAAAUAUUAUUUUAAAAUAUUUUAAAAUAAAAAAUAUUUUAUAAACAACCUUCAUCACAUCAUCAUAUGUAGUGAUGACUUACUCCCUCUGUUUCAUGGAUGGUGCAAUUUUUUUUUUUUUGGUCUCUCAAAAAAAAAAAGGGUUAGAUAUGCUUGAAAAAAUAGACACCCCAUUAGCUUUGUUGCUGCCAUCGCAAUAAUACGAUGUUCGCAUUCUAGCUAUGGUCACAUGCAUUGUCUAAGUAAUCAACUAAAGCCAAACAAAUUUUGCUUAAUCUUUGAUUAGACCAUAGGACCACCAUGAACAACAGUGUCAUGAACAGCUCUCGUUUUUUAAUGGCUUCUGGGACUAAUAACAGGUGUGGGUCCAAGAUGGCUCUUUAAUCACGAAGAUUAUCUUCUAAUCAUGGCGUCUGCUACUAGAAGCAAUCAAGGAGUAAGUGAUGUUUCCCACACUUAAUAUCAUUGAUUUGUAAACUUAAUCGCAACUCAAAAGAAAAAAGAGGAUCUUUUUGUGCGUGGCCUGUUUUGGAUUGGAUUGAUUGUUUUCUCAUUGGGUCAAGAGUGAAGAUGUCUGAUGGUACUUUUUCAAGCCACAUCUGUGGGGAGAUUGUAGUGGUUGGAUCUCCGAGUGCCACUGUCUAUGGAAGAAUAACAGCUGAAUCAGAAAAACACACAGCUCUGGCCCGAAGAGAACACAAUCAGCAUCUCUUGAAUUAAAUUAUUGCGAUGAAUCGACUAAUUAUCUCCGAGCGCCACUGACUGGGCAUGCCUCUCGGGUGUGGUCUCAAAUUUGCAGUGCAUGCUAUAACAGCUUUGAGAAUGGCAGUGGUGAGUGUUUUUUUAGCCCAAGAAAAGCAUGAACAAAUAUUUAUUCAUAGAAAAUUGUCAUAAUCACACCAUCCAUUGUAACAUCCGUUGUUGGUAACAUGUCAAAUUAACAGGGGUUUGAAAGUAUGAUGACGGUUGCUUUUUAAAAUAAUUUUUGCUUGAAAAAAUAUUAAAAUAAUAUUUUUUUUUAUUUUUUAAAAUUUAUUUUUAACAUUAAUAUAUCAAAACAAUAAAAAAAACACUAAAAUAUUAAAAUUUUAACGAAAAACAAGUUGAAACUCACUCUAAAACAACAACAAUAAAAUGGUUUGCAGACCAUUUUAAGCUUAUAUAUCAACAGAUAAAAUGUGGGCAUGUGUCAAUGCAUUAUUGCCUUAUUUGUAACCCAAGGUCUUCCAUUAAGGCAAUUCACAAAAAUCUCAGCACAUGCAAUGUGGUUUUUCUAAUUUGUGAAUGGACCAGCAUAUGCUUGCUAGGUAUGCUUAGUCCAUGACAUGCAAAUCAAUCCUUCUUGAUGCAAACCUUUUUUUUUUCUCAUUGUUUGACGGGUCCAAGUAAAAGAAUAUUGCAAGUGGAAGUGGACCGACUACUCACCAUCAAAAAUAUAUUUGAUCAUGUCUUGCAUUAAUGGCAAUCUGGUGGGAGGUAACGAUCCAACGGUUAACAUCAUCGGAUCAGUCUGACUCUUCGUUUUGGUAAAAUGGACUUUGGCAAUUUAUAUGUAGACGUUGACAAAAAGACUGACAGACCACAGAUGGGAAAUUGGAAUCUCCCCAAGAGAAGAGGAUAAUAAGAUAAACAUGCAACGUUGCAAUUCACAUAGCCACUAACAUAAAGACGAAAAGCAAUGGCUGUAAACCACAUUUUACAUUUUUUAUGCUCUCCCCAGUGCUUUUAUUUACAUGGGGGUGUAAACAAUUUGCUGAUAACGAACCAGAAAGAACAAUUUUCAGGUCCAAAUAGAGAGCCAUGGUUCGAGGAAAGGGCCACAUGGGUUCGGCCGGCGAAGGGAUUGGUUUGGUCUUCUUGACCCUGGCUUUGUGCAUUGCUAUCAUGUUUGAGCAAUGUCAAGGCCGCAGUGCCUAUGCAGAGCCAGCAAACUGUCUACGCCUGGAGUGUGCUCCAUAUCAGGUGAUUCACAGUCAAAAAGAUUAUGAAAUUAGAAGUUACAGAACAGCGACUUGGAUUUCUACUUCACCAGUCAACUCUAACUCGUACAAGGAUGCAGUUGGUCAUGGUUUCAACAUGUAAGCACAUCUUUCUCUCAACUUUCCUUUCAUUUAGGGCAGAUGUAUCCUUCACUGCAAGAAAUCACAAAUCGCUUUUUGUUUAUUUAACAAACCAUGGGAUGACACACGCUUUUCUUUGUUUAAUAAAUACUGUAAAAGGGGUUUAGAGUGUAUUUAUUUUUGUGUUUAAAAAUCGUUUUUGAAAUAUAUUUUUUUUACUUUAAAAUAAUUUUUUUUACUUUAAUAUUAAAAAUAAAUUUUGAAAAAUAAAAAAAUCAUCUUAAUAUAUUUUUAUUUUAAAAGGCAACCACUUAUUCCCUAUCACUGUCUUAAUUUUAACGUUUGCUAUUUAUCUAUAAUUUAUUUUAUAGGUGUUCUCCUAGCAUAGGUCCAGACUUUAAUUUAAGUAUAAGAGAAGCUCUUGAGAUUUAAUAUUUUAAUUUUAAUAAUAAGCUAAUCAUUUGCCACACACAACCACCAGGUGGAUGGAUUAUGGAAUAUCACUGACCAAUUCUCCUACACUUUAAAAUUACAAUCUCGUCCAUGCUUAUUUGCCCCUUUAAGAAUUUAUUUAAUGAUUUCAUGCUUAUUAUGGCGCCUGUGAAGCCUCGCUACGUAUAUUCAAGGAAACAAUGAUCAGGCAGCAAACAUCAACAUGACAGCUCCAGUUUUGGUAGAUAUGUUUUCAUCAACCGCGAGUUCCCGCAACACAACCUUUACUGUGCACCUCUAUUUGCCACAAAAGUACCAAAAUAACCCUCCUCUCUCCCGUCAAGUACAUCCAGUGAAGCUGCCUAAACACCGCCAUGCAGCUGUGAAGAGGUUUGGAGGUUUUAUGAACGACACCAACAUCCCUGGACAAGUUUUGGCGU
This 15838-nucleotide long non-coding RNA is filed under the name Populus trichocarpa (black cottonwood). RNAcentral's name for it is "long non-coding RNA (PTRI_LNC000067)". The record is from RNAcentral. Lineage: Eukaryota; Viridiplantae; Streptophyta; Magnoliopsida; Malpighiales; Salicaceae.